RNAcentral lists this ribosomal RNA (40 nucleotides) under Templetonia hookeri. RNAcentral's name for it is "partial large subunit ribosomal RNA". Lineage: Eukaryota; Viridiplantae; Streptophyta; Magnoliopsida; Fabales; Fabaceae. The record is from RNAcentral.
CGGGACCUCAGGUCAGGCGGGGCUACCCGCUGAGUUAAGC